CCUACGGGAGGCAGCAGUAGGGAAUAUUGCUCAAUGGGGGAAACCCUGAAGCAGCAACGCCGCGUGGAGGAUGAAGGUUUUCGGAUUGUAAACUCCUUUUGUUAGAGAAGAUAAUGACGGUAUCUAACGAAUAAGCACCGGCUAACUCCGUGCCAGCAGCCGCGGUAAUACGGAGGGUGCAAGCGUUACUCGGAAUCACUGGGCGUAAAGAGGGCGUAGGCGGGAUAGCAAGUCAGAUGUGAAAUCCUAUGGCUUAACCAUAGAACUGCAGUUGAAACUGUUAUUCUAGAGUAUGGGAGAGGUAGGUGGAAUUCUUGGUGUAGGGGUAAAAUCCGUAGAGAUCAAGAGGAAUACUCAUUGCGAAGGCGACCUGCUAGAACAUAACUGACGCUGAUGCGCGAAAGCGUGGGGAGCAAACAGGAUUAGAUACCCCUGUAGUC
This 440-nucleotide ribosomal RNA is filed under the name uncultured bacterium. RNAcentral describes it as "partial 16S ribosomal RNA". It matches the Rfam family "Bacterial small subunit ribosomal RNA", at positions 338 to 795 of the family's 1533-position model. The record is from RNAcentral.